UCGAGCGAAAGCGAGAAAGCGUUGCCAACGGCAACGACCCGAAGGGCGAAGCGCGCAGCGCUGAGUAAUCCUUCCCCCGUCAUCC
This 85-nucleotide small RNA is filed under the name Salmonella enterica subsp. enterica serovar Oranienburg. Its description in RNAcentral is "partial RtT sRNA". It matches the Rfam family "RtT RNA", at positions 48 to 130 of the family's 130-position model. From Rfam's summary of the family: This family represents a bacterial cis-regulatory element known as RtT RNA. The exact function of RtT is unknown although it is thought that it may be involved in changing the cellular response in relation to amino acid starvation. Lineage: Bacteria; Pseudomonadati; Pseudomonadota; Gammaproteobacteria; Enterobacterales; Enterobacteriaceae. The record is from RNAcentral. RNAcentral also lists the same sequence under 2 other names.